Molecule: long non-coding RNA, 333 nt
Organism: Lucilia cuprina (Australian sheep blowfly)
Lineage: Eukaryota; Metazoa; Arthropoda; Insecta; Diptera; Calliphoridae
Exons: 2
Source: RefSeq, a predicted model, not a curated record
CAGAGAUUUGAAAAUUUCCUUUUAUUAUUCAUAUUAAAAAUUUAACUUUAUUUCAGAACUGGUCCUCCCGUUGAAUUUGACUACUCUCUGCCACCAAGUUUCUCCAUAGUUCAUACGCAGAACGACAAAAAACAAAAUGAAACUGUACUCGAACCGGAAUACACUGGGAACUAGGAAAAAUGUACUAUAAAUACUCUUAUAUAUAACGACAAGUCUGAAGUUGAUUUUUAUUUUUGCAAAAAGGAAAAAACCUUUGUACUUAAUAAAUAUAUUUUAAAUAAAUGAUAAAUUUUAAGUUAACAAUAAAUCUUACAAAUUCGAGAUAUUUUUAUC